Molecule: long non-coding RNA, 248 nt
Organism: Patiria miniata (bat star)
Lineage: Eukaryota; Metazoa; Echinodermata; Asteroidea; Valvatida; Asterinidae
Exons: 3
Source: RefSeq, a predicted model, not a curated record
CGGAUGACCUGCUUGCUGGGCUACCCAUUACUGAUUCUUGAGCUGAUUGAAAUCAACCAGUCUGAGUUAGUUCUCUUGGUUAGGGAGUUAUUUGGGUGGUAACGAAGCAGUGGACCAGGCAAUCAAUCGAGCACACCAUUGAGACAUGGAUCAACCUCCACUGAUUGACGGAGUAGUGCUGACUAAGAUUGACACCAUUGAUGAUAAACAAAGUGAGGACCACUGACUGAUGAGGGAAUUGCUCUACU